This is a long non-coding RNA of Sapajus apella (tufted capuchin), 1767 nucleotides long. RefSeq lists it as uncharacterized. The transcript has 2 exons. Lineage: Eukaryota; Metazoa; Chordata; Mammalia; Primates; Cebidae. The record is from RefSeq and is a predicted model, not a curated record.
AAUGAGAGACUGAGGGCCCAGGGAGUGGUGUCUGGUUUUGCAUGUGGGUGCGUGUGGAUGUGUGUGGAUGAGUCUCCUGUGGCUGCUGUGAAAAGGACAACAAACUCGAGGGCUCACACAGAAGUUCUCACGGUUCUGCAGGCUGGAAGGCUGAGAUCAAGGGUGGUUCCUUCUGGGGGCUGUGAGGGAGAAGCUGCUCCAGGGCAUUGCCCUGGCUUCUGGUGUUUGCUGGUCUCUUUGGCAUUCCUUUGCUUGUAGAAGUGUCCCCCCGACCCCGGCCGUCACCUUCACCUGGCGUUCUCCUUGUGUGUGAGUCGCCUCCAAAUCUCCCCUUUGCGUAAGGGCAGCGUUCAACCUCAUCAAACCCAUUACACCUGCAGCGGCCCUGUUUCCAAACAGGGUCACCUUCCGUGGUACUGCAGGGGUUAGAGCUUCAACAUGUGAAUUUUGCAAUUCUGGAUUCCACCUAUAACACUGGCUCGAAACAGCAAAUUUGUUCUCCCAGAGUUCUGGAGACCAGAAGUCCCAAAUCCAGGUGUGGACCGGGCCGUGCCCCCUCCACAGGUUCUAGGGGAGGGCCCUUCCUUACCUCGUCCAGCUUCUGGGAGCUCCAGGCUCCUUGGCCUGGAGUCUCUGCCUGCGUCGUCACGUGGCCCCUGCCCCUGUGUUCUGCGUGUCCUUUUCUGUCUCUGAAAGGACUCUUUCCUUGAGUUCGUCUGACCCUAAUCCAACAUGAUGUUACCUAAAUUCUUACCUUAAUGACGUCUCCAGAGACCUCAUUAAAUAAGAUCAUAUUCUGAGGUUCUGAGUGUAUGUGAAGCUGGGGACAGGCACACUUUAGCCCGUAAAGUGCUUGAGUGUGUGGAGUAUGAGGAUGAGAAAUGUGAGCUGAGGGAGUGGGAUGAGUGUGCCUGAGAGUGAGCACGUGGGUGUGGGUGAGUCCGUGGGCGCCUUCAGUGUGUGAGAGGGUGUGUGAGGACAUGCAUGUGUUAGUGGUGUUCCGGAGCGUCUGCAUGUAUUUACCGAGUGUGGGUGAGUCCGUGGGCGCCUUCAGUGUGAGAGGGUGUGUAAGGACAUGCAUGUGUUAGUGGCGUUCCGGAGCGUCUGCAUGUAUUUACCGAGUGUGGGUGAGUCUGCGGGCGCCUUGAGUGUGAGAGAGUGUGUGAGGACAUGCAUGUGUUAGUGGUGUUCCGGAGCGUCUGCAUGUAUUUACCGAGUUUGAUGGGCAAGCGGCUGAGAGUUUGUUGUAAGCAUGGUCUGUUUGAAUUGUGUGGGUGUGUGCGUGCAUUCAAGCGAGUGGUGUGUAUGUCCAUGAGGGCAUACAAGUGGGCAGGUGACUGCAUGCAGGUGAAGUGGGAGCGAGCGCCUCAGUGCAUUUGAGCCACUGUGUGUGUGAGGGUGAGCAAGAGGGAGGCAUGAGCGUGUGUCAGGGGAUUACUGGGAGUGUGAAUGAGAUGAAGUGUCAGUCAGGCUUGGUGAGUGGGUGAGGCACAAGUGUAAGUGUGCACGAGUGUGAGCAUAUGUGUAAAUGUGUAUGAGUGCCUUGUGUCAGUGUCAGCACGCAUGACGUGUUACUGUGAGUGCAUGUUAGUGAAUGUGAGCAUUUUGCUUGUGUCAGUGAGGGAGGUUGUAACAACACUACAGGCAUGAGUGUAAAGAGAAGUGGGUGUGAGUGUGGGCACAGGUGUGAGUGGGUGAGUCAUCACUUGUAACCAAUGUGCUUAGGAGUUUGAGUGCAUAUGUGAGCUUCGGGAUGCGUUGGGAGGG